Molecule: ribosomal RNA, 457 nt
Filed under: uncultured bacterium
Lineage: Bacteria
Description: partial 16S ribosomal RNA
Rfam family: Bacterial small subunit ribosomal RNA
Source: RNAcentral
CCUACGGGUGGCAGCAGUGGGGAAUAUUGCACAAUGGGGGAAACCCUGAUGCAGCGACGCCGCGUGAGUGAAGAAGUAAUUCGUUACGUAAAGCUCUAUCAGCAGGGAAGAAAUACUGACCUUACGGUCAGCAGACGGUACCUGAGUAAGAAGCCCCGGCUAACUACGUGCCAGCAGCCGCGGUAAUACGUAGGGGGCAAGCGGUAUCCGGAUUUACUGGGUUUAAAGGGUGCGUAGGCGGGCAUUUAAGCCGGCGGUCAAAUGUCGGGGCUCAACCCCGGCCUGCCGUCGGAACUGGGUGCCUUGAGUGGGCGAGAAGUAUGCGGAAUGCGUGGUGUAGCGGUGAAAUGCAUAGAUAUCACGCAGAACCCCGAUUGCGAAGGCAGCAUACCGGCGCCCUACUGACGCUGAGGCACGAAAGUGCGGGUAUCGAACAGGAUUAGAUACCCCGGUAGUC